Molecule: ribosomal RNA, 513 nt
Filed under: uncultured beta proteobacterium
Lineage: Bacteria; Pseudomonadati; Pseudomonadota; Betaproteobacteria
Description: bacterial SSU rRNA
Rfam family: Bacterial small subunit ribosomal RNA
Source: RNAcentral
GGAAAGUAGGGGAUCGAAAGACCUUAUGCUUUAAGAGCGGCCGAUGUCUGAUUAGCUAGUUGGUAAGGUAAUGGCUUACCAAGGCGACGAUCAGUAGUUGGUCUGAGAGGACGACCAGCCACACUGGGACUGAGACACGGCCCAGACUCCUACGGGAGGCAGCAGUGGGGAAUUUUGGACAAUGGGCGCAAGCCUGAUCCAGCAAUGCCGCGUGAGUGAAGAAGGCCUUCGGGUUGUAAAGCUCUUUCAGUCGAGAAGAGAAAAUUGUGAUUAAUAAUCAUAAUUGAUGACAGUAUCGACAGAAGAAGCACCGGCUAACUACGUGCCAGCAGCCGCGGUAAUACGUAGGGUGCGAGCGUUAAUCGGAAUUACUGGGCGUAAAGGGUGCGCAGGCGGUUUUGUAAGUCACAGAUGAAAUCCCCGGGCUUAACCUGGGAAUUGCGUUUGAAACUACAAAUCUAGAGUGUGGCAGAGGGAGGUGGAAUUCCAUGUGUAGCAGUGAAAUGCGUAGAG